AAGUCGUAACAAGGUCUCCGUUGGUGAACCAGCGGAGGGAUCAUUGUUGGAACGCGCUCACGCGCAUCCAGACAACCCUUUGUGAACUUAUACCUAUACUGUUGCCUCGGCGUCAGGCUGGCUCCCCUCGGGGGGUCCCUCACCUCGGUGAGGAGCAGGCCCGCCGGCGGCCAAGUUAACUCUUGUUUUUACACUGAAACUCUGAGAAAAAAACAAAAAUGAAUCAAAA
Molecule: unclassified non-coding RNA, 229 nt
Filed under: plant metagenome
Description: partial contains small subunit ribosomal RNA and internal transcribed spacer 1
Rfam family: Eukaryotic small subunit ribosomal RNA (bases 1-46)
Source: RNAcentral